Long non-coding RNA from Lineus longissimus, 424 nucleotides. RefSeq lists it as uncharacterized. The record is from RefSeq and is a predicted model, not a curated record. The transcript has 3 exons. Lineage: Eukaryota; Metazoa; Nemertea; Pilidiophora; Heteronemertea; Lineidae.
GAAAGAUCCACGUGGACACGGACGUGAACACGGACGUGGCCAUUUUGGAAAAUGUUUGCAUGAAACUGUUCUCCUGAAAAAAAUCAAUUUAUUUGAGUAAAAUGCCUCUUUUCGGUAGAAUUUAUGUCAUAGUAUUGAUGGAUGCUUGGUCCAGCAAAGGAAACAGUUGGCACAAACAGCUGGAUGAUCUGUGUGAAGUUUCCGUCAAGAGACACCAGACAGCUUGAGACACCUAAUCGCAAUUUCCUCAUUGCCUCCUAUUAGGAAGAACAAAUCAUUUCAACUGACAACAACGAAAAUCGACGAGACUUUGACCACGCAACAUCCAGCCCAUGCAGUCCCCGCGGCUCUUCUUGGCACGAUUUCUUCCUCAGUCUCUUAUCUGUAACUUCAUUACUUUCAUAUGUAACAUCUUUUACUAAUC